RNAcentral lists this ribosomal RNA (673 nucleotides) under uncultured fungus. RNAcentral describes it as "eukaryotic LSU rRNA". The stretch from base 291 to 444 matches the Rfam family "5.8S ribosomal RNA". The record is from RNAcentral. Lineage: Eukaryota; Fungi.
AUUGGAAGUAAAAGUCGUAACAAGGCUUCCGUAGGUGAACCUGCGGAAGGAUCAUUAUUGAAUACGAUUGGUACUGAUGCUGGCUCUUAACUGAGCAUGUGCUCGUCCAUCUAUUUAUCUUCUCUUGUGCACAUUUUGUAGUCUUGAACGUACCUCUCGCAGUCAAAUGCGGUUUGGGAGCUUGGGCGCAAGCCCUUCUCCUGCUUCUUCAAGGCUAUGUUUUCAUAUACACUAUAAAGUUACAGAAUGUCUUUUAACGAUUGCGCUUGUCGUAGUCAUUAAACCUAUACAACUUUCAGCAACGGAUCUCUUGGCUCUCCUAUCGAUGAAGAACGCAGCGAAAUGCGAUAAGUAAUGUGAAUUGCAGAAUUCAGUGAAUCAUCGAAUCUUUGAACGCACCUUGCGCCCUUUGGUAUUCCGAAGGGCAUGCCUGUUUGAGUGUCAUUAAAUUAUCAACCUUGCUCGCUUUUACCGGCUUGAGUUAGGCUUGGAUGUGAGGGCUUGCUGGCUUCCUUUAGUGGAUGGUCUGCUCCCUUUAAAUGCAUUAGUGGGAUCUCUUGUGGACCGUCACUUGGUGUGAUAAUUAUCUAUGCCACUUGACCUUGAAGCAAGACUUAUGGGAACCCGCUCAUAACCGUCUUCGGACAACUUUUGACAUUUGACCUCAAAUCAG